AAGCCUGAUGCAGCAACGCCGCGUGAACGAUGAAGGUCUUCGGAUCGUAAAGUUCUGUUGCAGGGGAAGAUAAUGACGGUACCCUGUGAGGAAGCCCCGGCUAACUACGUGCCAGCAGCCGCGGUAAUACGUAGGGGGCUAGCGUUAUCCGGAUUUACUGGGCGUAAAGGGUGCGUAGGUGGUCCUUCAAGUCGGUGGUUAAAGGCUACGGCUCAACCGUAGUAAGCCGCCGAAACUGGAGGACUUGAGUGCAGGAGAGGAAAGUGGAAUUCCCAGUGUAGCGGUGAAAUGCGUAGAUAUUGGGAGGAACACCAGUAGCGAAGGCGGCUUUCUGGACUGCAACUGACACUGAGGCACGAAAGCGUGGGUAGCAACAGGAUU
Molecule: ribosomal RNA, 381 nt
Filed under: Peptostreptococcus stomatis
Lineage: Bacteria; Bacillati; Bacillota; Clostridia; Peptostreptococcales; Peptostreptococcaceae
Description: bacterial SSU rRNA
Rfam family: Bacterial small subunit ribosomal RNA
Source: RNAcentral